GUGAGGAAUUUUCCGCAAUGGGCGAAAGCCUGACGGAGCAAUGCCGCGUGCAGGAAGAAGGCCUUCGGGUUGUAAACUGCUUUUGUACGGAACGAAACGGUCCUGGUUAAUACCUGGGGCUAAUGACGGUACCGUAAGAAUAAGCACCGGCUAACUACGUGCCAGCAGCCGCGGUAAUACGUAGGGUGCAAGCGUUAAUCGGAAUUACUGGGCGUAAAGCGUGCGCAGGCGGUUUUGUAAGACAGGCGUGAAAUCCCCGGGCUCAACCUGGGAAUGGCGCUUGUGACUGCAAAGCUGGAGUGCGGCAGAGGGGGAUGGAAUUCCGCGUGUAGCAGUGAAAUGCGUAGAUAUGCGGAGGAACACCGAUGGCGAAGGCAAUCCCCUGGGCCUGCACUGACGCUCAUGCACGAAAGCGUGGGGAGCAAACAGGAUUAGAUACCCGUGUAGUCC
This 450-nucleotide ribosomal RNA is filed under the name uncultured bacterium. RNAcentral's name for it is "partial 16S ribosomal RNA". It matches the Rfam family "Bacterial small subunit ribosomal RNA", at positions 354 to 796 of the family's 1533-position model. The record is from RNAcentral.